UACAGAGGGUGCAAGCGUUGUCCGGAAUCACUGGGCGUAAAGGGCGCGUAGGCGGCUGGGUAAGUAGGAGGUGAAAUCUCAUGGCUCAACUGUGAGGCUGCCUUCUAGACUGCCUGGCUGGAGCAUGGUAGAGGCUGGUGGAAUUCCCGGUGUAGCGGUGGAAUGCGUAGAGAUCGGGAAGAACAUCGGUGGCGAAGGCGGCCAGCUGGGCCAUUGCUGACGCUGAGGCGCGAAAGCGUGGGGAGCAAACAGG
RNAcentral lists this ribosomal RNA (253 nucleotides) under uncultured bacterium. RNAcentral's name for it is "partial 16S ribosomal RNA". It matches the Rfam family "Bacterial small subunit ribosomal RNA", at positions 524 to 776 of the family's 1533-position model. The record is from RNAcentral.